UGCUGGAGGUAUCAGAAGUGCGAAUGCUGACAUAAGUAACGAUAAAGCGGGUGAAAAGCCCGCUCGCCGGAAGACCAAGGGUUCCUGUCCAACGUUAAUCGGGGCAGGGUGAGUCGACCCCUAAGGCGAGGCCGAAAGGCGUAGUCGAUGGGAAACGGGUUAAUAUUCCCGUACUUGGUGUUACUGCGAAGGGGGGACGGAGAAGGCUAUGUUGGCCGGGCGACGGUUGUCCCGGUUUAAGCGUGUAGGUGUGUGUUCCAGGUAAAUCCGGUUCACUUUAACACUGAGGCGUGACGACGAGGCACUACGGUGCUGAAGCAACAAAUGCCCUGCUUCCAGGAAAAGCCUCUAAGCAUCAGGUAACAUCAAAUCGUACCCCAAACCGACACAGGUGGUCAGGUAGAGAAUACCAAGGCGCUUGAGAGAACUCGGGUGAAGGAACUAGGCAAAAUGGUGCCGUAACUUCGGGAGAAGGCACGCUGACACGUAGGUGAAGUGAUUUACUCAUGGAGCUGAAGUCAGUCGAAGAUACCAGCUGGCUGCAACUGUUUAUUAAAAACACAGCACUGUGCAAACACGAAAGUGGACGUAUACGGUGUGACGCCUGCCCGGUGCCGGAAGGUUAAUUGAUGGGGUCAGCGCAAGCGAAGCUCCUGAUCGAAGCCCCGGUAAACGGCGGCCGUAACUAUAACGGUCCUAAGGUAGCGAAAUUCCUUGUCGGGUAAGUUCCGACCUGCACGAAUGGCGUAAUGAUGGCCAGGCUGUCUCCACCCGAGACUCAGUGAAAUUGAACUCGCUGUGAAGAUGCAGUGUACCCGCGGCAAGACGGAAAGACCCCGUGAACCUUUACUAUAGCUUGACACUGAACAUUGAGCCUUGAUGUGUAGGAUAGGUGGGAGGCUUUGAAGUGUGGACGCCAGUCUGCAUGGAGCCGACCUUGAAAUACCACCCUUUAAUGUUUGAUGUUCUAACGUGGACCCGUUACCCGGGUUGCGGACAGUGUCUGGUGGGUAGUUUGACUGGGGCGGUCUCCUCCUAAAGAGUAACGGAGGAGCACGAAGGUUGGCUAAUCCUGGUCGGACAUCAGGAGGUUAGUGCAAUGGCAUAAGCCAGCUUGACUGCGAGCGUGACGGCGCGAGCAGGUGCGAAAGCAGGUCAUAGUGAUCCGGUGGUUCUGAAUGGAAGGGCCAUCGCUCAACGGAUAAAAGGUACUCCGGGGAUAACAGGCUGAUACCGCCCAAGAGUUCAUAUCGACGGCGGUGUUUGGCACCUCGAUGUCGGCUCAUCACAUCCUGGGGCUGAAGUAGGUCCCAAGGGUAUGGCUGUUCGCCAUUUAAAGUGGUACGCGAGCUGGGUUUAGAACGUCGUGAGACAGUUCGGUCCCUAUCUGCCGUGGGCGCUGGAGAACUGAGGGGGGCUGCUCCUAGUACGAGAGGACCGGAGUGGACGCAUCACUGGUGUUCGGGUUGUCAUGCCAAUGGCACUGCCCGGUAGCUAAAUGCGGAAGAGAUAAGUGCUGAAAGCAUCUAAGCACGAAACUUGCCCCGAGAUGAGUUCUCCCUGAGACUUAGAGUCUCCUGAAGGAACGUUGAAGACGACGACGUUGAUAGGCCGGGUGUGUAAGCGCAGC
Molecule: ribosomal RNA, 1630 nt
Filed under: Salmonella enterica subsp. enterica serovar Heidelberg
Lineage: Bacteria; Pseudomonadati; Pseudomonadota; Gammaproteobacteria; Enterobacterales; Enterobacteriaceae
Description: bacterial LSU rRNA
Rfam family: Bacterial large subunit ribosomal RNA
Source: RNAcentral